This is a long non-coding RNA of Pocillopora damicornis (cauliflower coral), 171 nucleotides long. Lineage: Eukaryota; Metazoa; Cnidaria; Anthozoa; Scleractinia; Pocilloporidae. The record is from RefSeq and is a predicted model, not a curated record.
UGACCUUGGGUGCUGUGUUCAUUUUGAUUGUUGAAGUUUUGUGCUUUUCCUACCCGUUUAUCGCAUAGAAAUAUUUUUUACCGUAGGUGUACGAAGAUCAAGUCAAAACAACACGCAAUGUCAAAUGGUGAAAAUGUUUAAAUUUAAAAGAAGGUUUACUCCAUCAUGGAA